CUACGACCAGUUAACGGUUGCAGUCAAUGGUUAACGGCUGUAAGCUACUGCUGGCAGGCAGUACACCACACGAUGCACACUGCCCCGAAAUUUGUGGCACGUUUCUUAGGUGCCUCAAUCUAUAUGGAGGUGAGCAGCAGCUAAGCAAGAGUAGGAUCAAUCGUUAAUGGGUGUCAGAUCGGAUGAAAAUUAUUUAUGUGUUCGGUGCUCGCUGUUGACUGAUAUUUAGUUCACUUUUCUUUCUUUCAGUGUACUUGUGUCCAAGCGACAAUUGCAGUUUUAUGCCGGUGGACAUCAGAAACGUGAUCAUAGCCCCUCCAUUUAGACGAAAAUUAAAUCAAAU
Molecule: long non-coding RNA, 343 nt
Filed under: Drosophila guanche
Lineage: Eukaryota; Metazoa; Arthropoda; Insecta; Diptera; Drosophilidae
Source: RNAcentral